Cyanistes caeruleus (blue tit) is the source of this 2260-nucleotide non-coding RNA. Lineage: Eukaryota; Metazoa; Chordata; Aves; Passeriformes; Paridae. The record is from RefSeq and is a predicted model, not a curated record.
CAGACAGACAGAGCGGGGAGGGUCCGCUCCCCUCAUCUGGGCGAUGCGGGGCAGAGCCGCCCGUGUGCUGGGAAAUCACCGCCCCGAGAGGGGCGAGCCCCAGCAUGAGGCGGACUGCGGCCAUCGACACCGGGGGCUGUGGGUGCCCGACGUGGCAUAAACAAACGCGGAUCUGUUUCGAGUGAGCGCUUGUGACCUCUGUGAGUGCCGGGGCAGAAAGCCGGCAGCCGCUUUGCCUUCCCUCGUGCUUGUCUUUAAUGUCAGCGUUAAUAAGGGCAUUUGUUGCCACUGCCACCGAAGGGUAAUCGAAGAUUUGCCUUAGUUUGCUCUGUGUUGUAAUGUUAAACACGCUCUUGGACACGAACCCCUCUUUGCAGGUGUCAGAGCGGGGACACAAGUAGCUGGACAUUGUCCUUGUAGCCACUUGUCUGCAUGGCAUCAUGGCACGUUGUACGAGACAUUUUCCAGCUGCCAAAGGGGAUCUACUGGGCUUCCCACCGUCAUUUGCUUCAACAAAAGAUUUGGCAGCUUCUCUAUAAUAGUAGUUGGAAGUAUUGCCAAAGCCCUAAUAUUUGAGGUUUGGAGUUUUUAAAAUCUAUUAUUAAUCACAAUGUGUUCAGUAAGACUGUCAGGUGUCAGGUGGAUGAGAGCAUCUGUCAAGCUCUGUCAACUAGUCACCUCCACAGUCUUCAUAACACACAGAGUAAAUCUUGCCCAUGCAUGCCAUCUUUAUCAAGAAAAUACUUUUUUCCUAAGGUAAUCACAACUUUUGCUAGACAUAACUUUCAAAUUAAUUAAUCCAAGUAUGGGUUGAGCUAGUUUUCAAAAAAAGUUAAGCUGACUUCAGCAAAAGGACCUCUGGCAUAGCUUACCGAGAGACUAUACCAAAGUCUUGGAGGUCUUGCUUGCUGUAUAUGACACAUCCAACCAGCUUCUGCCUGCAGUUCCCCUUUCCCUCUUUUUCACACAAGGGAUAAAAAACCCUAGUCCUGCAAGGUACUACCUCAGGCCUUCUGUGAAAUAGGUCUAAGUAGGCACAAUUUACUGAGCUGCAUCAGGCUAUAGGGUUGAAAAUCCCCAUGCUGAGUUCUAAUUAAGGAAUUAAUGUUCUAAUUCUUGAAUGCAGUAAGUGGCAACCAGAAUCCUCCACUACAGUUAGUGAGUUAGUGUUUUGUUUUUCCCCUCUGUUAUAGGGGUGGAGUUGGUCCAAGCCUGGAUUUUCCAAGCAGCAGCAGUCUCACUUAUGACAAAAAAAAAAGGUAUACAUCCUAGCUGAAGAUAUGACAUGUCUUGUGAUAAGAAAACUAUAAGAUUUUGCUGUAGCACACAUUUUGCCACACUUUGAAAAGGUAAAGUUUACCUAAAUGACUUUACAGUGCAGUAUCUAAAAUGUGAAAACUGUCAGUGUUUUGAUAUAAGCUUGCCCUUUAAGGAAACAGACUAAUAAAAGUGAAAAGUGUUUGGCCUGAAAUGUGGAUCAGAAGGAAACGUGAGCACUGUUUGUAGGAACGAAAUUCUUGUUGCCUUUUUGUGGAGUUAAUUGUCCUUUUGUGCAUGCUUGUUUGCGUCUCCUGGCACACAUGCAGGGCAGGUCCCUGGCUUUUCCUGCUUUCGACUGGCAGCAUAUUUGUUGUCAGAGCCAUGGAUGCUGGGCUCUUCUGUGCUGUGUAGGCCACACAGCCAUGACAGAGAAAUAGGAUGGCACAUGAAAUUACACAGAAUUAAAAGUUAAAUGAUGCUUUAGUGCUUUUCUGGGGAUCUAGAUGCUGGAAGUACCAUUUGAAUGAUAUCUAAAUCUAAAUUUAUGAGCCUAUAACCAUUAAAAUGCAUACUUAACUGCUUGAGUAGAAGAAUAUUUUCCACUCUGUCUUGUCCCAGUCCAUACUGGGUAAUUAUGUGCCAUCUCUUUAAAUCUCUAUGUGUCUCUUAGUUAAAGUCACAAAGCAUUCUAAUUCACACACAUUCCUAAAUCCUAUUAUUCUAAUGCACCUUGGUGUAUUCAUAAGUCUUACAAGUUUCUUCAGAGUAAAUUCUAUGUAAUUCAAAUUUCUUGUUUCUUUAGUGUGACUAAAAAUCAGAAACACUCGCUGCUGUUAUAACCUAACUGUACAAAUUCUGUAAGUUAAAGACCCUCUGACCAUUGAGGUCUCUAAAUUAGGAGCACAUGUUUAAUAUUCAUCCUCAGUUCCUCGUAGGAGUAUUUUGAAAAGAAAUCCAAAGUGUACUUUAAACUGGAGUAAUAAACACUGUUUAUUUAUCA